AGGGGAGCGGCAGACGGGAGAGUAACACGUGGGAACGUACCCUUCAGUUCGGAACAACCCAGGGAAACUUGGGCUAAUACCGAAUACGUCCGUAAGGAGAAAGAUUUAUCGCUGAAGGAUCGGCCCGCGUCUGAUUAGCUUGUUGGUGAGGUAACGGCUCACCAAGGCGACGAUCAGUAGCUGGUCUGAGAGGAUGAUCAGCCUCACUGGGACUGAGACACGGCCCAGACUCCUACGGGAGGCAGCAGUGGGGAAUAUUGGACAAUGGGCGCAAGCCUGAUCCAGCCAUGCCGCGUGGGUGAUGAAGGCCCUAGGGUUGUAAAGCCCUUUCGGCGGGGAAGAUAAUGACGGUACCCGCAGAAGAAGCCCCGGCUAACUUCGUGCCAGCAGCCGCGGUAAUACGAAGGGGGCUAGCGUUGCUCGGAAUCACUGGGCGUAAAGCGCACGUAGGCGGCUUUUUAAGUCGGAGGUGAAAUCCUGGAGCUCAACUCCAGAACUGCCUUCGAUACUGAGAAGCUUGAGUCCGG
This 527-nucleotide ribosomal RNA is filed under the name uncultured Alphaproteobacteria bacterium. RNAcentral describes it as "bacterial SSU rRNA". It matches the Rfam family "Bacterial small subunit ribosomal RNA", at positions 89 to 651 of the family's 1533-position model. Lineage: Bacteria; Pseudomonadati; Pseudomonadota; Alphaproteobacteria. The record is from RNAcentral.